This 253-nucleotide ribosomal RNA is filed under the name uncultured bacterium. RNAcentral describes it as "partial 16S ribosomal RNA". It matches the Rfam family "Bacterial small subunit ribosomal RNA", at positions 524 to 776 of the family's 1533-position model. The record is from RNAcentral.
UACGUAGGGGGCAAGCGUUGUCCGGAUUUAUUGGGCGUAAAGAGCGUGUAGGCGGUUUGGUAGGUCCGCUGUGAAAACUCGAGGCUCAACCUCGAGACGCCGGUGGAAACCAUCAGACUAGAGUCCGGGAGGGGAGAGCGGAAUUCCUAGUGUAGCGGUGAAAUGCGCAGAUAUUAGGAAGAACACCGGUGGCGAAGGCGGCUCUCUGGAACGGUACUGACGCUGAGACGCGAAAGCGUGGGGAGCGAACAGG